CCUUCUGCUGCUUGCUCACUUUCGGUGCGCACGUCUCAUGCUGUGCAAACGAAAGGGGACACCAGAGAAGACGUGCCCCCUCCCUCGCUCUAUCACCCGCCGAUUCGCGCUCCAGCAAAAGAUGGAAUUGACUGUAGGGAAUAGGCAAGUGCUAGUGACUGCACACAAAACGUACAGUGAGCCAGAUGGGCUGGAUAGUCUUCGAGCGUUCGCUCAGUACCCUCCGCUGCGCACCUACCUGGCCGACUGUGCGGAGAGCGGUCCCAUCCCUGAAGCCGUUGUAGUGCGGCGCUUGCACCGUGUGGCGCAUCGUAUUACUGGCGCCGUGGCCGACCUGGUCUAUCGGGACGCAUGCAGCGGCACGCAAACAGAACGUGCACUGCACCUUACCAACGCCCAUCCGGCUGUGCUGCUGCCCAUCGUUACUGUAAAGGAGCAGCGCUACGCAUUGCUGGCGCGGCAGGCGGAGGUAUCUCAAGGACUCGGAAUUGUCACCACGGCGAUGCGUGGUGUUGUGAAUGCCGAGGGUGGCUUCGCCAGUGACACCUAUGGCAGUGCGCUGGAAAAGGUCGGAAUUCGACUUGCGGAUGCAACUCCUCUCUCAUCUACUGCUUUUACCAUAGGCAACGAGGGCGAGCCCGCUAUUCGUUUCUUCACUCUGACCGUGGCGUGCGAUGAGGAGCAGGCAGAGCAGCUUCAUGAGGACCCGCGUUUAGCACUGGUGGCGCUCAAGGACGUCUUCGGCGCAGGGGAUGCCGCAGCGUCCCUGGCAGUGUCCUUGGUCUCGGCCACUGCCUAGUUGCACCGCACACCGAAGGAAGAGGGACAAGACUCACGGCUAGUGCAAUUACCGGCGGUCUUUUUCUUGGUCUGCCGGCAUCGUUUUCCCCUCUCUCUCUCAGACGUCGUGCGACGUUGUGAUGUCUCUAUCACGUUCUUUUCCCAUUUACGUUUCGAUUGUAUGUCUCAUCGCCCCCUUCUUGCGAGCGUCCGCGUGUAUGAAUCCCUCUCUCAUGUACAGCCAAAUCACACUUGCACCUGUUUGUGCGCAUGCCUGACUUCCGCCCUUCUCUUGCUUCUGUGUGGCCCUUACCCCCUCUCGCCCUCACAUUUGUGUGCCGCCCGAUGCGACCGCCAAAACGACGCUGACAUCACUGCCGUUUGGAGAAGCGCCUUGGUGGCCACCCAUCGCAUCUUUUCCGUAGCAUGGCUUAAAGAAACGCUGCGCACGUUGACUGUGAUCAAGCUCUCCUUUGCAGAUGAAAGCUCCAGUGUGUCCUACGGAGGACCCCGCAGUGGCCGAGCGUUACCGUCGAUGUCCCGUUGUGCUUGCAGUACCGUAUGGUGCAGGCUUCCUCCGAGAUGGGGGACUCGCAACCGGUGCAGUAUCGAAACUUGUGCACUGCCCUCGACAGAAAAAGGGUAGUCUCUCCCUCUCUCCCCUUCACGCUCGCUACUUGCCCCCCCCCCCCCCCCCCCUCCUCCUCGCAUUUUCUUGAGUUGCACGCCGUGUGCCUGGCUCUUUUGCAG
Molecule: unclassified non-coding RNA, 1530 nt
Filed under: Leishmania donovani
Lineage: Eukaryota; Euglenozoa; Kinetoplastea; Trypanosomatida; Trypanosomatidae
Description: gene:LdHU3.18.2060(CDS-product:hypothetical_prote in_conserved)
Source: RNAcentral